UGGCUAACCCAAUAACGAAAGUUUCGUAAGGGAACUGGAGCAGGCUACCAUGAGACAAAAGAUCUUCUUUCUAAAGAGAUUCGAUUCGGAACUAUGACACGAUGGAGUUCGAGUUGAUUUUUGUUUUCUCAGGGGAAAGUAUGGAAGGGUAGCGAAAAUUAAUAAAAUAAAUUAGAACAACUUAUUAAGUAUCUUUUUUAUAGAGAAAGCGAAAAGAUAAAAUUU
This 225-nucleotide long non-coding RNA is filed under the name Arachis ipaensis. RNAcentral's name for it is "long non-coding RNA (AIPA_LNC001746)". The record is from RNAcentral. Lineage: Eukaryota; Viridiplantae; Streptophyta; Magnoliopsida; Fabales; Fabaceae.